AUUCAGUGUUCUGAGCUGGGCACCAGAAGAUCUCUAAAGAGGUGUUGAUAGAAGAGAUCCUUGAUAAUGGUAAAUUAGUUCUUUGAUUUGAAGUUGGUGGUUAAAAAUGCUGAAACAAUCAAUCUGCAAUCUAGGGACAUCAAAGCGGAACCAAUUAAAUUUCUUGGCCAUGGAUUAUUUAGAAUUGCCUUUGUUCCUCAAACUUGUGUCUUUUGAAAACUACACUGAGAUUUCUUCUCGCUCUAGUCAGAAUGGCAAUUAUCAAGAAUACAAGUAAUAAUAAAUAUUGGCGAGGAUGUGGGGGGAAAGGUACACUCAUACAUUGCUGGUGGCACUGAAUGUUGGAAAGCAGUAUGGAGAUUUCUCAGAAAACUUGUAAUGGAACCACUAUUUGACCCAGUUACCCAAUCAUGGCAUAUACCUCGAAGACUUAAAAUCAGCAUAUUAUAGUGACAUGGCCACAUCAAUGUUUAUAGCAGCUCACUUCACAAUAGCUAAGCUAUGGAGCCAACCUAGAUGCCCUUCACCACAUGAAUGGAUAAAGAAAAUCUGGUAUAUAUACAUAUGUAAUAUGUCUCAGCCAUCAGGAAGAAUGAACUUUUGUAACUCCAUAUCAUGCACAACCACAAGAAUGGAAGUUAUGCUCCAUGUACCUAUGAUAUGUCAAAAUAUAUUCUACAGUUAUGUAUAACUGAAAAGAACAAAUACAAAAUUUAAAAAAAAUUAUCUUCGGGUGUUAAUUCUACUGUAGUGGACAUGGGGGUCAAGAUUCAACACUUCAACUUUC
This 787-nucleotide long non-coding RNA is filed under the name Marmota monax (woodchuck). Lineage: Eukaryota; Metazoa; Chordata; Mammalia; Rodentia; Sciuridae. The record is from RNAcentral.